Molecule: ribosomal RNA, 869 nt
Filed under: Pseudocircinotrichum papakurae
Lineage: Eukaryota; Fungi; Ascomycota; Sordariomycetes; Xylariales; Gyrothricaceae
Description: partial large subunit ribosomal RNA
Rfam family: Eukaryotic large subunit ribosomal RNA
Source: RNAcentral
AUAUCAAUAAGCGGAGGAAAAGAAACCAACAGGGAUUGCCUCAGUAACGGCGAGUGAAGCGGCAACAGCUCAAAUUUGAAAUCUGGCCUUCUGGUCCGAAUUGUAAUUUGUAGAGGACGCUUUUGGUGCGGUACUUUCCGAGUUCCCUGGAACGGGACGCCUUAGAGGGUGAGAGCCCCGUACGGUUGGAUACCUAGCCUCUGUAUAGCUCCUUCGACGAGUCGAGUAGUUUGGGAAUGCUGCUCUAAAUGGGAGGUAAAUUUCUUCUAAAGCUAAAUACCGGCCAGAGACCGAUAGCGCACAAGUAGAGUGAUCGAAAGAUGAAAAGUACUUUGAAAAGAGGGUUAAAUAGCACGUGAAAUUGUUGAAAGGGAAGCGCUUAUGACCAGACCUUUGCCUGGCGGAUCAUCCGGUGUUCUCACCGGUGCACUUCGCCAGGUCGAGGCCAGCGUCGAUUUUUGGAGGGGGAUAAAGGCUUCGGGAAUGUGACUCCUCCGGGAGUGUUAUAGCCCGUUGCGUAAUACCCUUCCGGGGAUCGAGGUUCGCGCUCUGCAAGGACGCUGGCGUAAUGGUCAUCAGUGACCCGUCUUGAAACACGGACCAAGGAGUCGAACAUUUAUGCGAGUGUUUGGGUAUCAAACCCUCACGCGUAAUGAAAGUGAACGGAGGUGAGAGCCCUUACGGGUGCAUCAUCGACCGAUCCUGAUGUCUUCGGAUGGAUUUGAGUAAGAGCAUAACUGUUCGGACCCGAAAGAUGGUGAACUAUGCGUGGAUAGGGUGAAGCCAGAGGAAACUCUGGUGGAGGCUCGCAGCGGUUCUGACGUGCAAAUCGAUCGUCAAAUCUGCGCAUGGGGGCGAAAGACUAAUCG